UACGGGGGGGGCAAGCGUUGUUCGGAAUUACUGGGCGUAAAGGGCUCGUAGGCGGCCAACUAAGUCAGACGUGAAAUCCCUCGGCUUAACCGAGGAACUGCCUGUCAGACUGGGAGGCUUGAGACCGGGAGAGGUGAGUGGAAUUCCCAGUGUAGCGGUGAAAUGCGUAGAUAUUGGGAGGAACACCAGUGGCGAAGGCGGCUCACUGGACCGGAACUGACGCUGAGGCGCGAAAGCGUGGGGAGCAAACAGG
RNAcentral lists this ribosomal RNA (253 nucleotides) under uncultured bacterium. RNAcentral's name for it is "partial 16S ribosomal RNA". It matches the Rfam family "Bacterial small subunit ribosomal RNA", at positions 524 to 776 of the family's 1533-position model. The record is from RNAcentral.